AACGAUGGGUUUCGGGUUACCUGU
This 24-nucleotide non-coding RNA is filed under the name Arabidopsis thaliana (thale cress). The record is from RNAcentral. Lineage: Eukaryota; Viridiplantae; Streptophyta; Magnoliopsida; Brassicales; Brassicaceae.